GAUGAACGCUGGCGGCGUGCUUAACACAUGCAAGUCGAACGGAAAGGCCCAAGCUUGCUUGGGUACUCGAGUGGCGAACGGGUGAGUAACACGUGGGUGAUCUGCCCUGCACUUCGGGAUAAGCCUGGGAAACUGGGUCUAAUACCGGAUAGGACCACAUUUUGGAUGGUGUGGUGGAAAGUUUUUCGGUGUGGGAUGAGCUCGCGGCCUGUCAGCCUGUUGGUGGGGUAAUGGCCUACCAAGGCGUCGACGGGUAGCCGGCCUGAGAGGGUGUACGGCCACAUUGGGACUGAGAUACGGCCCAGACUCCUACGGGAGGCAGCAGUGGGGAAUAUUGCACAAUGGGCGCAAGCCUGAUGCAGCGACGCCGCGUGGGGGAUGACGGCCUUCGGGUUGUAAACUCCUUUCGCUAGGGACGAAGCGCAAGUGACGGUACCUGGAGAAGAAGCACCGGCUAACUACGUG
Molecule: ribosomal RNA, 465 nt
Filed under: uncultured bacterium
Lineage: Bacteria
Description: partial 16S ribosomal RNA
Rfam family: Bacterial small subunit ribosomal RNA
Source: RNAcentral